AAACACCUGUGUGGCUGUUCAGAUUUGAUAAAAGGCCUGCAUUUUCCUCCAGACCACUUCGACAACAGAACUAUGAUGGAUGAAGGUGGAGCUGCUGGUGGUGGGAGAAGAACUCAGCUGACUCAUCCAAUCUACCAGGAAAUGGAGAAUUUGUUUAAAAGUGGCAGUAGGUCAUAGUCUUGAAGCAUCAGGCAACCUGCCAGGAAGAGGGGAAAACCUACUCUUGGCAGACUACAUGGAAGGAGUUUUGGAGGAACGAAGAAGAAUGUG
Sander lucioperca (pikeperch) is the source of this 270-nucleotide long non-coding RNA. RefSeq lists it as uncharacterized. The transcript is spliced from 3 exons. Lineage: Eukaryota; Metazoa; Chordata; Actinopteri; Perciformes; Percidae. The record is from RefSeq and is a predicted model, not a curated record.